GGAGCCGCCCCGGACCCGGGUCUGAAGUGCUGGCUUUGUGGGCGACGCGGAACAGGCGUCCGGGACAAGGCGGUCUCCGCCCCGCUGGCCCCAGCGCGGUCGGACCCUCCACACUGGCCGGCUCCGGAGCGCCCUCCGGCAGGAUGCGGGGCACGCCUGCCCCGGAUGGUGCCCGAGUCCCCCAGCCAGGCAGGAGGGCCGUUCUGCAACCUCCCGCAACCCCUGCGUGGUCCACGCAAGACGCCUCACACUCACCGACGCUCUCUCUCCCGCCUGCCUGCCCUGCCCGGGACCCCCGCGGCCGCCACCCAGCAGGAUUCUCAGAAGAGGAACAGUUGGCCUUGUGCAUUUGAGAUUCUGACAGAUAAAUAGCGAAAUGCUUGGAAACAGAAGUGGCAGUACACCCAGCAUGAUAACGGGAGCUAUAGUGGAGCAGAGGUACUGAGCUGGACUACAUUUCCCAGGUUGCUGAGCUGGACUACAUUUCCCAGGUUGCCUUGCAGACUCCCCAGAUAACUGCUCCAUGCCUUCUGUCCAGGGAUCCUAGUUUUGUUCCGUGGAGAGACAAGAUGAAAUCUGCGCGGGGUCAGAUGCGAGGAUGCAGAGUCCUGAUCAGAAGGAAGGCGACGGAGCACACCCAUCCGGCCCCACGCCCACCCUCUGCGGUCACGUGCUCGCCAGCCAGGCGGAGGCCCACAAUGCAGCCUUGUGCGGCCGCUGGCUCAGAACGGGCGCCGCGUGUCUGGGGAGCCCUGGCCAGCCGGUGGGGCCCGCCGUGAGGCCGGAGUUGCCUGGGAGGAAGGAUGCGCCCAGUUCAAGCCUCCAGGGCCCUAGGCCAGCGGCUCUCCAGGAAACACCUGGGCUGGUCGGGCUGCUCCUAAUGACACCUGGGACCCUGGGGGCUGUGUCUGGGGAAGAGGCAACCUGCAACGGAUGCCUGGCCAUCAGUCCCCCCAGACUCGCAGGGCGUACCUUGGGGUGCACAAUAGAGCCCCCGGUCUCAGAUAUAACAGGACAACCAGAGCAGCCUGGUCGAUUUUUAUAAAGCUGAAUGUAUCCGGUUUGUAACAGAAGGUUUUCUCCUGACAUUAAAACAUCCUUUUUUUUUUUUUUUAAUGAAAUGAUUAUAUAGUAGACACACUAAAAUAAAAAAUAAAAAUAAA
Lutra lutra (Eurasian river otter) is the source of this 1163-nucleotide long non-coding RNA. RefSeq lists it as uncharacterized. The record is from RefSeq and is a predicted model, not a curated record. NCBI's taxonomy places the organism in Eukaryota, Metazoa, Chordata, Mammalia, Carnivora, Mustelidae. The transcript is spliced from 5 exons.